GACGAACGCUGGCGGCGUGCUUAACACAUGCAAGUCGAACGGUGAAGCUCCAGCUUGCUGGAGUGGAUCAGUGGCGAACGGGUGAGUAACACGUGAGCAACCUGCCCCUGACUCUGGAAUAAGCGCUGGAAACGGCGUCUAAUACUGGAUACGAGAAGGGUCCGCAUGGGCACUUUCUGGAAAGUUUUUCGGUUGGGGAUGGGCUCGCGGCCUAUCAGCUUGUUGGUGAGGUAAUGGCUCACCAAGGCGACGACGGGUAGCCGGCCUGGGAGGGCGACCGGCCACACUGGGACUGAGACACGGCCCAGACUCCUACGGGAGGCAGCAGUGGGGAAUAUUGCACAAUGGGCGAAAGCCUGAUGCAGCGACGCCGCGUGAGGGAUGACGGCCUUCGGGUUGUAAACCUCUUUCAGCAGGGAAGAAGCGAAAGUGACGGUACCUGCAGAAGAAGCACCGGCUAACUACGUG
RNAcentral lists this ribosomal RNA (468 nucleotides) under uncultured bacterium. Its description in RNAcentral is "partial 16S ribosomal RNA". It matches the Rfam family "Bacterial small subunit ribosomal RNA", at positions 28 to 507 of the family's 1533-position model. The record is from RNAcentral.